This is a long non-coding RNA of Drosophila pseudoobscura, 1026 nucleotides long. RefSeq lists it as uncharacterized. The record is from RefSeq and is a predicted model, not a curated record. The transcript has 2 exons. Lineage: Eukaryota; Metazoa; Arthropoda; Insecta; Diptera; Drosophilidae.
AAAAAAAAAGAAAGGAAAAGGUCGAACAAGGUACACUUUAGGUACACUUUCUAGAAAGAUACUUUUCAUACCGCCCUCGCUAGCAUAGCUCGAAGAAAUUGGUGGAAUGCAGGAGAUCCAGAAGAUCAUCCGAUUGCACAGUUAUGUUAAAGCUUAAAGCUCAGCUUAGGCAUGCAAUAGGUACAGGCGAAUAGACUUUAUUCAUGUGAAAUCAUUCCCCUGCAUAGUUUCACUUACGGCACACGUAUAUAUAGAUUUUCGUGAUUUUUGCAAUCGCAGAGUGAAUGGUGAAGACACGUGGAGUUACAUAACUUCCAAUUUUUCACUAUUAUCUAAUCAUCCGCUGUUUAUAUGGAUUAAUAAAUCCGAAGAGUGGCGUUAGCUGAACUACCCGAGGGAAAAGUGAAAAUAAAGUGAAAUUCUUGAAAGAAGCAAAGGGAUAGGAGUACUGGAAAAUCUUAAUACAGCCAAGCCGGCCAACCAAUCUACGGUAUCAACUACUAAAACAACCAAGCUGACCGUUUGGGAGUUAGUGCAGUGCACAUCCACGGCGGCAAAGUGAAGGCUGAACCGUUGGCGUUGGGCUAGCUCAAUAUCGGAAAUCAUUUACGGCUCGUGAAAGACCAACCACCAUACACCACUGCUGGACGUCCGAAUUUCAGUUUGAACCUGCCGAUCUCAUAAAAAAAGCCGGAGGACAUAAUCGUCACCAACCUACGAAAACUUACAAAGGAUUGAUGCAUACAAAUGAAUCCGUCAAAGUCAUCUUGGGCCCAACGAUACACCGAUGAGUUUAACCAAUUACUGUGAGUACCACUAGUGGCUGAAACCACAAUGUCUAUACACCAAUGCAGGCGUAAGUUUGUUGAAGUAGAUAUAUAUAUACUGAUUUGAAAGAAUAUUACCCCCCUCAAAUGCUCAAAUAAUUAAGUUUUUUUUGCUGAUCCAAGAAGAAGGAAGUCUGUAUAUUUUUGUUUAUUUGUAAAUGUAAGGAAUCGGAUUAUAUCUGUAAUUAAUGUAAAAAAA